UGUUCGGAGAGUUUGAUCCUGGCUCAGGACAAACGCUGGCGGGGUGCAUGAGACAUGCAAGUCGAACGGGGUUCAUCGGGCUUGCUCGAUGAACCUAGUGGCGGACGGCUGAGUAACGCGUAGGUGACCUACCCGGAAGUGGGGAAUAACUGCCCGAAAGGGUGGCUAAUACCGCAUGUGGUCGACGAUUCGCUUCGUCGUCCAAAGCCGCAAGGCGCUUCCGGCGGGGCCUGCGUCCGAUUAGCUAGUUGGUGGGGUAACGGCUCACCAAGGCGACGAUCGGUAGCUGGUCUGAGAGGAUGAUCAGCCAGACUGGGACUGAGA
Molecule: ribosomal RNA, 324 nt
Filed under: Chloroflexota bacterium
Lineage: Bacteria; Bacillati; Chloroflexota
Description: bacterial SSU rRNA
Rfam family: Bacterial small subunit ribosomal RNA
Source: RNAcentral